AAAAAAAACCCUAAGCUUCCUUCCCCUCCCCCCCGAUUCUACGUAUCCUUCCCCUCCCCUCAUCUGCUCUCUCUCUCAACCCUAGCUACGAAACCGUAGCCGCCGCCGCCGCCGUGAUGGUCUUAACCCCGCCUCUUCUCCCACCAACACACUCACACCCAUCAAGAACGCGAAGCUCUCACCCCUGUCGCAGAUCUGCCUAAACUCGAGCCAUCUCUUGGUUCUGACAGUGACCACCCAGAACCUAAUCAAACUACCAAUGUAGAGGAUGAUACUCAUAAGCAUAAGGAUGAUGGUCAACAACUGUCCAACGGCCAAGUGU
Long non-coding RNA from Carya illinoinensis, 322 nucleotides. RefSeq lists it as uncharacterized. The transcript is spliced from 2 exons. The record is from RefSeq and is a predicted model, not a curated record. NCBI's taxonomy places the organism in Eukaryota, Viridiplantae, Streptophyta, Magnoliopsida, Fagales, Juglandaceae.